UACGUAGGGGGCAAGCGUUGUCCGGAAUCAUUGGGCGUAAAGAGCGUGUAGGCGGCUUUACAGGUCCGUUGUGAAAACUCGAGGCUCAACCUUGAGACGCCGGUGGAAACCGUAAAGCUAGAGUCCGGAAGAGGAGAGUGGAAUUCCUGGUGUAGCGGUGAAAUGCGCAGAUAUCAGGAGGAACACCCGUGGCGAAAGCGGCUCUCUGGGACGGUACUGACGCUGAGACGCGAAAGCGUGGGGAGCAAACAGG
RNAcentral lists this ribosomal RNA (253 nucleotides) under uncultured bacterium. Its description in RNAcentral is "partial 16S ribosomal RNA". It matches the Rfam family "Bacterial small subunit ribosomal RNA", at positions 524 to 776 of the family's 1533-position model. The record is from RNAcentral.